This 30-nucleotide non-coding RNA is filed under the name Rattus norvegicus (Norway rat). The record is from RNAcentral. Lineage: Eukaryota; Metazoa; Chordata; Mammalia; Rodentia; Muridae.
UAGCACCACCCGUAGAAACUAAAGUGUUUC